This 253-nucleotide ribosomal RNA is filed under the name uncultured bacterium. RNAcentral's name for it is "partial 16S ribosomal RNA". It matches the Rfam family "Bacterial small subunit ribosomal RNA", at positions 524 to 776 of the family's 1533-position model. The record is from RNAcentral.
UACGUAGGGUGCGAGCGUUAAUCGGAAUUACUGGGCGUAAAGCGUGCGCAGGCGGUUUGUUAAGCCAGAUGUGAAAGCCCCGGGCUCAACCUGGGAACUGCGUUUGGUACUGGCAAGCUAGAGUACGGCAGAGGGGGGUGGAAUUCCACGUGUAGCAGUGAAAUGCGUAGAUAUGUGGAGGAACACCGAUGGCGAAGGCAGCCCCCUGGGCCGAUACUGACGCUCAGGCACGAAAGCGUGGGGAGCAAACAGG